CCUACGGGCGGCUGCAGUGGGGAAUAUUGGACAAUGGGCGAAAGCCUGAUCCAGCCAUGCCGCGUGUGUGAAGAAGGCCUUCGGGUUGUAAAGCACUUUCAGUGGGGAAGAAAGCCUUGGGGCUAAUACCCUCGAGGAAGGACAUCACCCACAGAAGAAGCACCGGCUAACUCCGUGCCAGCAGCCGCGGUAAUACGGAGGGUGCGAGCGUUAAUCGGAAUUACUGGGCGUAAAGCGCGCGUAGGCGGUCUGAUAAGCCGGUUGUGAAAGCCCCGGGCUCAACCUGGGAACGGCAUCCGGAACUGGCAGGCUAGAGUGCAGGAGAGGAAGGUAGAAUUCCCGGUGUAGCGGUGAAAUGCGUAGAGAUCGGGAGGAAUACCAGUGGCGAAGGCGGCCUUCUGGACUGACACUGACGCUGAGGUGCGAAAGCGUGGGUAGCAAACAGGAUUAGAUACCCUUGUAGUC
This 465-nucleotide ribosomal RNA is filed under the name Vreelandella stevensii. RNAcentral's name for it is "partial 16S ribosomal RNA". It matches the Rfam family "Bacterial small subunit ribosomal RNA", at positions 338 to 795 of the family's 1533-position model. Lineage: Bacteria; Pseudomonadati; Pseudomonadota; Gammaproteobacteria; Oceanospirillales; Halomonadaceae. The record is from RNAcentral.